Molecule: ribosomal RNA, 468 nt
Filed under: uncultured bacterium
Lineage: Bacteria
Description: partial 16S ribosomal RNA
Rfam family: Bacterial small subunit ribosomal RNA
Source: RNAcentral
GACGAACGCUGGCGGCGUGCUUAAUACAUGCAAGUCGAACGGACAGGCCCUGAUCUUGCGGGUUGCACGAGUGGCGCACGGGUGAGUAACACGUGAGUAAACUGUACCUGACUGUGGGAGAACUCUUGGAAACAGGGGCUCAUACCGGAUAGGAGCUCUUGCUGCGCGGUGGGGGAUGGUAAGAUUCGGCGGUUGGGGAUGGUCUCGCGGCUUAUCCGCCUGAUGGUGGGGUAGUGGCUUUCCAAGGCUUUGACGGGUAGCCGGCCUGAGAGGGUGGCCGGGGACAAGGGGACUGAGGGACGCCCCAGACUCGUACGGGAGGCAGUGGGCGGGAAUAUGGCGCAGUGGGGGGAAGCGUGUGACAGCAGUGCCGGGAGCGGGAUAACGUCCUACGGGUUGUAAACCGCUUUCGCCGGUGACGAAGCGGGAGUGACGGUAAUGGGUAAAGAAGCACCGGCUAACUACGUG